Molecule: long non-coding RNA, 406 nt
Organism: Triticum aestivum (bread wheat)
Lineage: Eukaryota; Viridiplantae; Streptophyta; Magnoliopsida; Poales; Poaceae
Exons: 3
Source: RefSeq, a predicted model, not a curated record
GUUGUUUAUGUGUGCUGAAGAUUGUUCAUACCCGUACCCUGAAGAAAGAAGGCAAAAUAAUCCAUAACUAUUUCUUGAUAAUAAAACACAAGAUAGAUUCUAGAUAUACCUGGAAUAUGUUCAUCCGGGUUCAGUUAAUAAGUGCAUUAGUCAACAUUGUGGUGCAAUGACAGAAUCUGUUGUCCACAACUUCACCUGCCAUAUCCUUAAGGGUCUUGAUUUCCUACAGAGCCAAAAAAUUAUGCAUAGAUCUGGAAAUAGGUUUAAAGGAAAGAUUUAGAAGGUGAAGGAGCUGAUACAGAGCAUGCUAAAUUCUCACUGUCUUAACCAUUUUUCGUGUACAAUGCCAUUCAUGUAUAGGUUUGGAGCUUUGUGCUGACAAGAAUUCUCUGAUUGGCAUCAUUUG